UCUUCUGGGUCUUUCAGCUCCACUGAUGAUCAGGAGUGCCAAUGCAAUCUUCUUAAAAUGGAAGAACCAGGUGCUUCAAGAGCUGCCCAGGAUAGUAGCUGUGGAUGCAUAAGCAGCAGGAAGAGAAGGCAAGAUCCAAGGCAAAAGAGUGUUGAUAAUGCUGAUCCCUCCAAAACUGGUGGUGAAGUGAAAGACACCAAGGCCAAGAUCUUAAAGCAAAGAUGUUGCUACAUGGAAAUUUAGAUUGUGAUCGAUCAUCUUCCAACAACAAGAAGUUAUGGAGGAGGUCUCAUCUGCAGAGGAUGACGAGAAAAAGGCAGAGGAAUCCCUCGCUUCAAAUGAGGUUAGGGAGAUGUGUAGAAAGCAGAAAACAGAGCAGAGCUGUGUAGAAAUCACUAACAGAAUAAGGUUGUAGCAAUGCAAGCGAUGAAUCUAUUCAAGGAUAAUGCAAUGUCACAUUUCCACAAAAUCCUCAAAAGGAGGCAAAAGCAGGUGCCAUAGCAGGUUGGGUAAGUUUCUUGUUAAAGUUACACAAAAAUAAAAAGAUUCCAUUGAGAC
Molecule: long non-coding RNA, 558 nt
Filed under: Fukomys damarensis (Damara mole-rat)
Lineage: Eukaryota; Metazoa; Chordata; Mammalia; Rodentia; Bathyergidae
Description: lncRNA (ENSFDAG00000023741.1)
Source: RNAcentral